This 1796-nucleotide long non-coding RNA is filed under the name Oncorhynchus kisutch (coho salmon). RNAcentral describes it as "lncRNA (ENSOKIG00005038757.1)". Lineage: Eukaryota; Metazoa; Chordata; Actinopteri; Salmoniformes; Salmonidae. The record is from RNAcentral.
AAGCUCCUAAUUCAUUGACUGGAAGUUAAGUAAACUUCGUUUUAAAUGUACUGACUGAUUAGAUAAUGUGUCUAUAUUGCAGAACAACUUGAUACAGGCUAAAACAAUCUACUUUGUAUCUUUGCUUACAAACCACUACCAAUGCACAAAUGUGAGGCAAUGCUUCCAGUUUGUGUCAUUGAGUUCGACAUUUUGGAGUGCAUAGUGAUGAUCACAUGUUACGUCUGGCCAGGCAGGGCAAGGAUUUCCUCCUGGAAGUGUCUGGCAGGAAAGGGUGUGAUGGUGCUUCAGUGGAAGGCUGGAGUCCUGUCUGAGGAACUGAUGCAAACGGCGACCUGCAGAGGUAAAAGCAUUGUGAACAAGGGCCCCCGGAGAGGCCUUCUGACAAUGGAUCAAAAUGAGACCCCAGACAAUGGACCCCCAGGUCCCUGACAAUGUUCCAGGCCUUGUCCAGAUCCAGAUGCUUGUCCCGUCCUGGGCUGGCCGGACGGAGUGAGAAAACGUGUAUGGUUUGAUUACUUGGACCUUGUGUUUGUUUGAGCCAAGGUUACGGCCCACCUGGAUGUAAAAACGCCCAGUCAGACAGACGGGUUAAACUCUCACUCUGCUUUUAUCUCACACGGACAUCUGUUGCUGUGAGUCUCCCAGAUGUUUCCUGCCCGGCUGGGCUGCUGGUGUAUGGUAGUGGUGGUAGUAGAGCACUGGGCCCAACCCUGCUCACUCUCCUGUUCUCCUGGCCCUUUCAUGCUGAUAGUAUUUUGGCAACUUGACUGAACAAUUCCAAAAUAUCAUCAUGCGGAGGACGUUGUAAUUUUUGUAGUUAAUAUGACUAGCAUGUCGGCUCUUCCAUGAGGACAAACAGGAGUGAUGUCAUUUUUCAUUGUGAAGUGUUCUUAUCCAGAUACAUUAUGUAAUUGUACUAAGAACCAGUGUGUCAAGUUGUCAACCACACUGCGAAGACUUAGCUAAAACAAAAUGAAUCAGGAAUUAGGAUUGCUAAUCUGGCAGGUUCUGUAUAUCAGUGUAGGCCUACGUGACAACCUCCACACCACUCUCUCCUUUAUAAAGGCCUUUGUUUUGGUUUAUGGACAUAACUUGGAGAAGCGCCAAAGUCACCUUUGCUCUAAGUACCCUUCCAUACUGGAAGGUAAGGGAUCAUUCAGCCAUUAUAUUUAAUAUGCUCAGACAGAGAUGUGUAUCUGCUCCUCAACCUGUUGGUAUCAACAGGAGUUUAGACUAGUACACACUACCAUUAUUAGAAUGAUUCAUUAUAUCACAUCUUCAUCUGUUUUUAAGUGUCUUACCUUGGGUAAACUAAUUUAUAGAAGAGUAGGUGUGUACAUUCAUCCACCCAAUGUAAGAUAUCUGUCACGCCCUGGCCUUAGUAUUCUGUGUUUUCGUUAGUAUUUUGGUGAGGCCAGGGUGUGACAUGGGGAUUUAUGUGGUUUGUUUUGUCUGGGGUUGUUUGUAGGUAUGGGAUUGUGGUUAGAGUAGUACUCUAGUUAAGUCUAUGGUUGCCUAGAGUGGUUCUCAAUCAGAGGCAGGUGUUUAUCGUUGUCUCUGAUUGGGAACCAUAUUUAGGCAGCCAUAUUCUUUAGGUGUCUUGUGGGUGAUUGUUCCUGUCUUUGUGUUUGUGGCACCAGAUAGGACUGUUUUGGUUUUUUCACGUUUCUUGUUUUGUAGAUUGUUGUACUUUCAUCUCUAUUAAAGAUGUACAAAACUAACCACGCUGCAUUUUGGUCCGCCUCUCUUUCCCCAGAAGAAAACCGUUACAAUAUCCCUGUCACUGCAAUAUU